Molecule: ribosomal RNA, 468 nt
Filed under: uncultured bacterium
Lineage: Bacteria
Description: partial 16S ribosomal RNA
Rfam family: Bacterial small subunit ribosomal RNA
Source: RNAcentral
GACGAACGCUGGCGGCGUGCCUAACACAUGCAAGUCGAACGGAAAGGCCCUGCUUUCGUGGGGUGCUCGAGUCGCGAACGGGUGUGUAACACGUGAGUAACCUUCCCUGGGCUGUGUGAUAACUUCAGGAAAGCGGGGCUAAUACCGGCGACGAGCUCCUGCUGCAUGGUGGGGGUUGGAACGUUUCGGCGGUUGUGGAUCGACGCGCGGCUAAUCAGCUGGUGGGGUGGGUAGUGGCUUACGAGGCGUUCGGCGGCUGGCCGGCAUGGGAGGUUGGCCGGCGUCAUGGCGACUGCGAUAGGGCGCAGACUGGUACGGGAGGCAGCAGUGGGAAAUAUGGCACAGUGGGCGGAAGCCUGAUGCGGCAGUGCCGCGUGCGGGAUGACGGCCUUCGGGUUGUAAACCGCUUUCGCCUGUGACGAAGCGUGAGUGACGGUAAUGGGUAAAGAAGCACCGGCUAACUACGUG